RNAcentral lists this ribosomal RNA (253 nucleotides) under uncultured bacterium. RNAcentral's name for it is "partial 16S ribosomal RNA". It matches the Rfam family "Bacterial small subunit ribosomal RNA", at positions 524 to 776 of the family's 1533-position model. The record is from RNAcentral.
UACGGGGGGGGCAAGCGUUGUUCGGAAUUACUGGGCGUAAAGGGCUCGUAGGUGGCCAACUAAGUCAGACGUGAAAUCCCUCGGCUUAACCGGGGAACUGCGUCUGAUACUGGACGGCUUGAGUUCGGGAGAGGGAUGCGGAAUUCCAGGUGUAGCGGUGAAAUGCGUAGAUAUCUGGAGGAACACCGGUGGCGAAGGCGGCAUCCUGGACCGACACUGACACUGAGGAGCGAAGGCCAGGGGAGCAAACGGG